This 1142-nucleotide long non-coding RNA is filed under the name Junco hyemalis (dark-eyed junco). RNAcentral's name for it is "lncRNA (ENSJHYG00000002138.1)". The record is from RNAcentral. Lineage: Eukaryota; Metazoa; Chordata; Aves; Passeriformes; Passerellidae.
CUCCAGGCCCAGAUCUGGGAAACAGAAAUUGGGAUCUGGGAUUGGGAUCUGGGAUUGGGAUUUGGGAUCCCCAGUGCUCCAGGCCAAGAUCUGGGGAACAGAAAUUGGGAUCAAAAAUUGGGAUCAGGGAUCUGGGAAUGGGAGCUGGGAAUGGGAUCAGGGAUUGGGAUCUGGGAAUGGGAUCAGGGAUUGGGAUUUGGGAAUGGGAUCUGGGAUCUGGGAAUGGGAUCUGGGAAUGGGAUCAGAUAAACCCCAAAGGGAUCCCCAGUACUCCAGGCCCAGAUUUGGGAACAGAAAUUGGGAUCUGGGAUUGGGAUCAGGGAUCUGGGAAUUGUUCUGGGAUCACGGAAUGGGAUGAAUUCCCCCAAAUCCUGCUGGGGAUCCCCCAAAUCCCAUUCCCAGCCCCAUUCCUGGGAUUUUGGGGGUUUUUGGGGUACCCUGGGUCAGCUCCUGCUCCCUCUGGAUCUCCCAUUCCCAGAUCCCAUUCCCAGCCCCAUUCCUGGGGUUUUGGGAUAUUUUUGGGAUAUUUUUGGGGUACCCUGGGUCAGAUCCUGCUCUCUCUGGAUCAGGGAUGAAUUCCCAGCCCCAUUCCCAGGAUUUUGGGGUAUAUUUGGGAUAUUUUGGGGUAUUUUUUGGGAUAUUUUUGGGGCAUUUUGGGGGUAUUUUUGGGAUAUUUUUGGGGCAUUUUUGGUGUAUUUUUGGGGAUAUUUUUGCUGUAUUUAUGGGGCAUUUUUGGGAUAUUUUUGGUGCAUUUUUGGGAUAUUUUUGAGGUAUUUUUUUGGUUAUUUUUGGGAUAUUUUUGGGAUAUUAUUGGGGGAUAUUUUGGGGCAUUUUUGGGAUAUUUUUGGGGUAUCUUGGGGUAAUUUUGGGGAUAUUUUUGGUGUAUUUUUGGGGAUAUUUUUGGGAUAUUUUGGGGCAUUUUUGGGAUACUUUUGGGGAUAUUUUGGGGCAUUUCUGGGAUAUUUUUGGGGUGUUUUGGGUACCCUGGGUGAGGUCCUGCUCCCUGUGGAUCUGCUGGAUGACAGCGUUGAUGUCCCGGAUCCCGCGGCGCCGCUCCUCCGUCUUCCGCGUCUUGUUGGCCACGUACUCCUGGGGGGAUCCUCGGGAUCAGCAUCCCAAAAAUCCCUGGGAUUAUCCCAAAC